This 84-nucleotide transfer RNA is filed under the name Pinctada margaritifera. RNAcentral's name for it is "tRNA-Leu". The record is from RNAcentral. Lineage: Eukaryota; Metazoa; Mollusca; Bivalvia; Pterioida; Pteriidae.
UUUUUAUUAGUAUAAGAAGUACACUCCGCUUAGGACGGAGGGGUCCCGACUGGGGUACGAAAGUAGUUGAAACGUUAGGGAAAA